AACGUAGGACACAAGCGUUAUCCGGAGUUACUGGGCGUAAAGAGCUCGUAGGCGGUUUGUCGCGUCUGCCGUGAAAGUCCGGGGCUCAACUCCGGAUCUGCGGUGGGUACGGGCAGACUAGAGUGAUGUAGGGGAGACUGGAAUUCCUGGUGUAGCGGUGAAAUGCGCAGAUAUCAGGAGGAACACCGAUGGCGAAGGCAGGUCUCUGGGCAUUAACUGACGCUGAGGAGCGAAAGCAUGGGGAGCGAACAGG
RNAcentral lists this ribosomal RNA (253 nucleotides) under uncultured bacterium. Its description in RNAcentral is "partial 16S ribosomal RNA". It matches the Rfam family "Bacterial small subunit ribosomal RNA", at positions 524 to 776 of the family's 1533-position model. The record is from RNAcentral.